GUGCCGCCUUUGGCAGCACAUAUACUAAAAUUAGAACAAUACAGAGAAGAUUAGCGUGGCCCCUUUGCAAGGACGACACAAUAAUAAAGAUGUUGUACCAUACAUGC
Small nuclear RNA from Vulpes vulpes (red fox), 107 nucleotides. NCBI's taxonomy places the organism in Eukaryota, Metazoa, Chordata, Mammalia, Carnivora, Canidae. The record is from Ensembl.